Miniopterus natalensis is the source of this 286-nucleotide non-coding RNA. NCBI's taxonomy places the organism in Eukaryota, Metazoa, Chordata, Mammalia, Chiroptera, Miniopteridae. The record is from RefSeq and is a predicted model, not a curated record.
CAUGUGCAUCAUGUAGACAACUCAUUAACCCCAGGACUGUCUGCUCAAGAACAUCUUGAUGGACACAUGUUCCAGGGGAAAUCUUUGGGAUAUGCUUGGCUGGAGCUUAAGUGUAUGUGCAGAUGGACUGAGCAACCUGCACAGCACUGUGGCCAAAUUCUGAAGAACCUUUUCCAUUUAAACAAACAAACAAGAUCAAGACACGACUAUUUAAGGCCCUGGCCACCACGGUUCUACUUUCAUCUCUGAUUUGGACUGCCCUCAAUACCUCGGGUAAGUGCAGAAG